UACAGAGGGUGCGAGCGUUGUUCGGAAUUAUUGGGCGUAAAGGGCGCGUAGGCGGUGCGGUAAGUCACCUGUGAAAUCUCCUGGCUCAACUGGGAGCUUGCAGGCGAAACUGCCGUGCUGGAGUGUGGGAGAGGUGCGUGGAAUUCCCGGUGUAGCGGUGAAAUGCGUAGAUAUCGGGAGGAAGGCCGGUGGCGAAGGCGGCGCUCUGGAACAUUUCUGACGCUGAGGCUCGAAAGCGUGGGGAGCAAACAGG
Molecule: ribosomal RNA, 253 nt
Filed under: uncultured bacterium
Lineage: Bacteria
Description: partial 16S ribosomal RNA
Rfam family: Bacterial small subunit ribosomal RNA
Source: RNAcentral